Molecule: ribosomal RNA, 514 nt
Filed under: uncultured bacterium
Lineage: Bacteria
Description: bacterial SSU rRNA
Rfam family: Bacterial small subunit ribosomal RNA
Source: RNAcentral
GAGUUUGAUCUUGGCUCAGAUUGAACGCUGGCGGCAGGCCUAACACAUGCAAGUCGGGCGGUAGAGAGAAGCUUGCUUCUCCGUGAGAGCGGCGGACGGGUGAGUAAUGCCUAGGAAUCUGCCUGGUAGUGGGGGAUAACGCUCGGAAACGGACGCUAAUACCGCAUACGUCCUACGGGAGAAAGCAGGGGACCUUCGGGCCUUGCGCUAUCAGAUGAGCCUAGGUCGGAUUAGCUAGUUGGUGAGGUAAUGGCUCACCAAGGCGACGAUCCGUAACUGGUCUGAGAGGAUGAUCAGUCACACUGGAACUGAGACACGGUCCAGACUCCUACGGGAGGCAGCAGUGGGGAAUAUUGGACAAUGGGCGAAAGCCUGAUCCAGCCAUGCCGCGUGUGUGAAGAAGGUCUUCGGAUUGUAAAGCACUUUAAGUUGGGAGGAAGGGCAGUAAAUUAAUACUUUGCUGUUUUGACGUUACCGACAGAAUAAGCACCGGCUAACUCUGUGCCAGCCGCCG